This 289-nucleotide unclassified non-coding RNA is filed under the name plant metagenome. RNAcentral describes it as "partial contains small subunit ribosomal RNA, internal transcribed spacer 1, and 5.8S ribosomal RNA". The stretch from base 1 to 54 matches the Rfam family "Eukaryotic small subunit ribosomal RNA", at positions 1778 to 1831 of the family's 1831-position model. The record is from RNAcentral.
GGAAGUAAAAGCCGUAACAAGGUUUCCGUAGGUGAACCUGCGGAAGGAUCAUUAUCGUACAAAAUGUGAGGGGCAUGCGAGGGCUGUCGCUGACCCAAAAGUCGUGCACGCCCGAGUGUGUCCUCUUGCAUAAUAAUCCAUCUCACCCUUUGUGCAUCACCGCGUGGGCACCCUUCGGGAUCAUCUCGGAGGGGGGCUCGCGUUUUCACACAAACCCCCCUUUUAAAAGUGUAGAAUGGCCACAUUUAUGCAAUCAAUACAACUUUCAACAACGGAUCUCUUGGCUCUC